RNAcentral lists this ribosomal RNA (429 nucleotides) under Chloroflexota bacterium. Its description in RNAcentral is "Chloroflexi bacterium partial 16S ribosomal RNA". It matches the Rfam family "Bacterial small subunit ribosomal RNA", at positions 355 to 776 of the family's 1533-position model. Lineage: Bacteria; Bacillati; Chloroflexota. The record is from RNAcentral.
UGGGGAAUAUUGCACAAUGGGCGCAAGCCUGAUGCAGCCAUGCCGCGUGUAUGAAGAAGGCCUUCGGGUUGUAAAGUACUUUCAGUCGGGAGGAAGGUGGUAAGGUUAAUAACCUUGGCAAUUGACGUUACCGACAGAAGAAGCACCGGCUAACUCCGUGCCAGCAGCCGCGGUAAUACGGAGGGUGCAAGCGUUAAUCGGAAUUACUGGGCGUAAAGCGCACGCAGGCGGUUGAUUGAGUCAGAUGUGAAAUACCCGGGCUUAACCCGAGAAUUAAAGCUGAUACUGGUGAGCUAGAGUCUUGUAGAGGGGGGUAGAAGUCCAUGUGUAGCGGUGAAAUACGUAGAGAUGUGGAGAAGUACCAGUGGCGAAGGCGGCCCCCUGGACAAAGACUGACGCUCAGGUGCGAAAGCGUGGGGAGCAAACAAG